ACGCUGGCGGCAGGCUUAACACAUGCAAGUCGAACGGUAACAGGAAUUAGCUUGCUAAUUUGCUGACGAGUGGCGGACGGGUGAGUAAUGCUUGGGAAUCUGGCUUAUGGAGGGGGAUAACUACGGGAAACUGUAGCUAAUACCGCGUAAAAUCUUCGGAUUAAAGGGCGGGACUUUCGAGCCACCUGCCAUAAGAUGAGCCCAAGUGGGAUUAGGUAGUUGGUUAGGUAAAGGCUGACCAAGCCGACGAUCUCUAGCUGGUCUGAGAGGAUGACCAGCCACACUGGAACUGAGAUACGGUCCAGACUCCUACGGGAGGCAGCAGUGGGGAAUGUUGCACAAUGGGGGGAACCCUGAUGCAGCCAUGCCGCGUGAAUGAAGAAGGCCUUCGGGUUGUAAAGUUCUUUCGGUGACGAGGAAGGUUGAUAGGUUAAUAGCCUAUCAAAUUGACGUUAAUCACAGAAGAAGCACCGGCUAACUCCGUGCCAGCAGCCGCGGUAAUACGGGGGGUGCGAGCGUUAAUCGGAAUAACUGGGCGUAAAGGGCACGCAGGCGGUGACUUAAGUGAGAUGUGAAAGCCCCGAGCUUAACUUGGGAAUUGCAUUUCAUACUGGGUCGCUAGAGUACUUUAGGGAGGGGUAGAAUUCCACGUGUAGCGGUGAAAUGCGUAGAGAUGUGGAGGAAUACCGAAGGCGAAGGCAGCCCCUUGGGAAUGUACUGACGCUCAUGUGCGAAAGCGUGGGGAGCAAACAGGAUUAGAUACCCUGGUAGUCCACGCUGUAAACGAUGUCGAUUUGGGGAUUGGGCUUUGAGCUUGGUGCCCGUAGCUAACGUGAUAAAUCGACCGCCUGGGGAGUACGGCCGCAAGGUUAAAACUCAAAUGAAUUGACGGGGGCCCGCACAAGCGGUGGAGCAUGU
This 918-nucleotide ribosomal RNA is filed under the name uncultured bacterium. RNAcentral describes it as "bacterial SSU rRNA". It matches the Rfam family "Bacterial small subunit ribosomal RNA", at positions 33 to 942 of the family's 1533-position model. The record is from RNAcentral.